Molecule: long non-coding RNA, 772 nt
Organism: Scylla paramamosain (green mud crab)
Lineage: Eukaryota; Metazoa; Arthropoda; Malacostraca; Decapoda; Portunidae
Exons: 5
Source: RefSeq, a predicted model, not a curated record
CUUCCCCGUAGCCUCAGCGCCGCUAGUUCCUCGCCGCGUGUGUAGUGCAGUGUUCAGUGCCGUAACCCUAUUUUCGUGUGAGUACGAGUGACCGUUUUCUCACAGUGCAGCGGUUCGUCAUCCUUGCCCUUCACAGAGGUUGCAGAUUGCUUGGCAGUUAAAGUGACUGAUGGAAUGUACCUAAGCUAACAACUUCAUGGUGAUGUAAUGUCAAGUGUCGUAUUGCGCAGUGCUCGACCAUCAGGCAAACCGUUCAGAGGGACACCUUCUCUCUCCCGGUGACAACCCGCCGACGCCGCCUGCCCCGCCCAUGACUCCUGCUGUAAUAAGGUGUGGAGUGAUGAAAAGCCAGCCUGAAUAUGUAACGUCUCUCAUUCGUUCUCAUCCAAUCACGAGGCACAGCAGAGUUUGGGUUCAUCCUGCACUUCCUCAAUCUGCUGGUGCGAAGAGACUGUUACUUAAUGUUUGGAUCUGAGUGGCCUGGGGUUGUGGAUGGCUGGGUGACGGUCUGUGUUACUUCACGACACAAAGGCAUCGGCAGACACUCGUGAUUUUGAGCGACUCUUUUCAGCUGGAUGUGCUCAGUGACGAAUGCCAAGCUUUUACUAUACUCUGUUUUUUAUUUUGUUUUGCGUACACACUGACGAAGUAGCUGAGGUGGCUAGAAACGUUUCCUAGAGAAUCUUUGUGCACAUCCAAAAAGAGCAUAUCAUGGAAGGGAGAACCGUUAGAUGACUGAUAAUAUUAAGACGAUACAAAUAUUUCAGCUUGA